GAUCCUGCGGCAGAGGAGUUGCUUGCUGCUUUGCUGACAAUUGGCGGACGGGUGACUUAUGUCUGGGAAUCUGCCUGAUGGAGGGGGAUAACUACUGGAAACGGUAACUAAUACCGCAUAACGUCGCAGACCAAAGAGGGGGACCUUCGGGCCUCUUGCCAUCGGAUGUGCCCAGAUGGGAUUAUCUAGGGGUGGGGUAACGGCUCGCCUAGGCGACGAUCCCUACCUGGACUGAGAGGAUGACCACCCACACUGGAACUGAGACACGACCCCUACUCCUACGGGAGGCGGCAGUGGGGAAUAUUGGACAAUGGGCGCGAUCCUGAUGCGCCCAUGCCGCGUGUAUGAACAACGCCUUCGGGUUGUAUAGUACUUUCAACGGGGAGGAAGGGAGUAAAGUUAAUACCUUUGCUCAUUGACGUUACCCGCAGAACAAGCACCGGCUAACUCCGUGCCCGCAGCCGCGGUAAUACGGAGGGUGCAAGCGUUAAUCGGAAUUACUGGGCGUAAAGCGCACGCAGGCGGUUUGUUAAAUCAGAUGUGAAAUCCCCGGGCUCAACCUGGGAACUGCAUCUGAUACUGGCAAGCUUGAGUCUCGUAGAGGGGAAUAGAAUUCCAGGUGUAGCGGUGCAAAUGAUAUAGAGAUCUAACAGGAAUACCGGAAGGCGACCGCGGUGCCACCUGAUACUGACACUGACGCUGCAGAAUGCGAAGAGCGAGCAGGAGCAAAUCUAGGAUAUCACCAUGACUCCUGCCUACGUCCGA
RNAcentral lists this ribosomal RNA (765 nucleotides) under Escherichia coli. RNAcentral describes it as "bacterial SSU rRNA". It matches the Rfam family "Bacterial small subunit ribosomal RNA", at positions 68 to 858 of the family's 1533-position model. The record is from RNAcentral. Lineage: Bacteria; Pseudomonadati; Pseudomonadota; Gammaproteobacteria; Enterobacterales; Enterobacteriaceae.